GAGUUUGAUCCUGGCUCAGGAUGAACGCUAGCUACAGGCUUAACACAUGCAAGUCGAGGGGUAGCAGGGUAGCAAUACCGCUGACGACCGGCGCACGGGUGAGUAACACGUAUCCAACCUUCCCAUAACUCAGGGAUAGCCUUUCGAAAGAAAGAUUAAUACCUGAUAGUACUUUUUCAAGGCAUCUUGAGAAGUUAAGAUUUAUUGGUUAUGGAUGGGGAUGCGUUCCAUUAGAUAGUUGGUGAGGUAACGGCUCACCAAGUCUUCGAUGGAUAGGGGUUCUGAGAGGAAGGUCCCCCACAUUGGUACUGAGACACGGACCAAACUCCUACGGGAGGCAGCAGUGAGGAAUAUUGGUCAAUGGGCGAGAGCCUGAACCAGCCAAGUAGCGUGAAGGAUGAAAGGUCCUAUGGAUUGUAAACUUCUUUUAUAGUAGAAUAAAGUGAUCCACGUGUGGAUUUUUGUAUGUAUACUAUGAAUAAGGAUCGGCUAACUCCGUGCCAGCAGCAGC
This 511-nucleotide ribosomal RNA is filed under the name uncultured bacterium. RNAcentral describes it as "bacterial SSU rRNA". It matches the Rfam family "Bacterial small subunit ribosomal RNA", at positions 9 to 518 of the family's 1533-position model. The record is from RNAcentral.